This 253-nucleotide ribosomal RNA is filed under the name uncultured bacterium. RNAcentral describes it as "partial 16S ribosomal RNA". It matches the Rfam family "Bacterial small subunit ribosomal RNA", at positions 524 to 776 of the family's 1533-position model. The record is from RNAcentral.
UACGUAGGGUGCAAGCGUUGUCCGGAAUUAUUGGGCGUAAAGAGCUCGUAGGCGGUCUGUCGCGUCUGCUGUGAAAACUCAGGGCUUAACCCUGAGCUUGCAGUGGGUACGGGCAGACUAGAGUGCGGUAGGGGAGACUGGAAUUCCUGGUGUAGCGGUGAAAUGCGCAGAUAUCAGGAGGAACACCGGUGGCGAAGGCGGGUCUCUGGGCCGUAACUGACGCUGAGGAGCGAAAGCGUGGGGGGCGAACAGG